RNA transcript from Bombus pyrosoma, 3827 nucleotides. RefSeq lists it as uncharacterized. Lineage: Eukaryota; Metazoa; Arthropoda; Insecta; Hymenoptera; Apidae. The record is from RefSeq and is a predicted model, not a curated record. The transcript has 4 exons.
CAGGAUCCGCUUCAAAAUCUUCUAUCAAAUGUUGAAAUCGUUUCUAUGAUGAGUCACUUUCGAAGAUUAACAAAAACGUCACGCGUCUAUUCUCUGUCCAACGAGUCGAGCCGGAAACUGUAAAUAAAACCAUGUGAUCAAAAUCUAGAGAAAAAUGAUAUAGCGUACAAUAUUUGGAAUUUUGAGAUAUUAGAAAAUAGAAAGUUACACUAACCUCUUAAAUGAGAAAAUUGAGUGUAUAUACUAAGUUAGAUUGAGCAACAUUGUCGCUAAAAAACAAUUACAUUAAAUUUAUCAAUUCAGUUUAAAAAUAUACCUUAUUAUACUUGUAAUAAUUUACCUUCCCUUAUUCAACUCAGUGAUUCAUUGCUGUAUCAUAUUUAUGAUCUAUACCAUCCUUUCUGCUCGUAAAUCAUGUUUGAGGUUACGAAGAAAUGGUGGAUAGAUUAAGAGACAGUUUACACGUAUUUAUGCAGGAAUAAUGACUAAUGUAGUCGAGUAAACAACAUAAAGAGAGAUAAAGGGAAACGUUUGGUGUUAUACAUACCGUAUGUUAUUGCUGAAAACAUCACAUCGAAGAUUAUCGAUCGUGAAUAUUAGAAAAUCGAUCGAAACCCACCGGAUUCUGCAACUGCGAAACAAUAAGCUUGACAACGUUGCAUGGAAUUGGUGGUAUUGUUUCACACGUAAGAUCGAAUAAUAUUCAAUAUUCACCACAAUUUUUUUUUAUUAUUCCAAUAUCGUACAAGUUAUCUGUCAAAAGCAAUCAGUGUUGCAAGCCGCUCUGUAUUGCAUAUGGUAUUGCAUGAAUACGAGAAUCGAUACAUCGACCUUACAUCCUUUGCUAGUUAUCGAUUAAUAGCAGUGGGAAAUCGAAUAUCGAGUAACUUACAGAAGCAUCAUACGAUAGCCAUCUUAACUUUUUCGAUCUAGUUUAUCGCGUAGUUUCUAGAUUACGACUAGUUGGGUUUAGUUAAUCGAUAGAUAAUUAAUAGGUAUUGAUAAGUGAUAAAGGGAAACGUAAAAAGUGACAUUUUGUAGUGAAUUACUUGUACAUAAAGCUAUAAUAGAAUAUGCGUUCGAGUAGUUUUGACGUGCGCGCGCGUUCCCUCGAGAGAGACCAAGAGAACCAAGUUCGAGCAGUCGUCUCGUGGAAAAAGUGACCAUUUAAUAACUCAGGAUCGAAUUAUGAUAUCAAGGUGGUGUUUUAAUGGCCGAGUGGCGCUUACCAUCGUCGGUGAUUCGUCAAGCAUGCAUUCACCUUGUAGACACCCGGUAGACGAGCAACUACCCACCACAUCGCCGGUUUAAUCGACAACGAGAGAGUUAAUUCACGUCUGGUUCGAUGAACUUCUGUCAAUCGAACGCUGUCAUCUGAAUACUCGGAAUGCGAAGUCCUGGUUUUGCGGAGUUUCACGGGCUGAGAGUCGCAGAGGACCGGAGGAGUUUAUUGAAUAAAUCAAGGUCAAGCGAAUGAGAGAGCGACGAGGAGGGCCGAGGCAUCGGCCGGGAUUCUGUCGUGGCGCAGAAAAAUCAAAUUAAACAGCCGCUUUUAAGUCGAAUUAAAACGAAUGCGCUUAAUUAAAGCGGCCUGUGCCGCUCAACUAAAGGAGUUUUAUUGACGGCGACCGAGUCUCCUUUGUCGGUGCUACCGUGUACCCUUUCAUUAUUACGUUAAAAGAUGGCCACGACUUUUUGGUUUUGCAGCAAAUAACGCUCUAUUUUUCUCUCCGUUACAGACAGCCCGGUUUUUUCCGAUUUUUCAACCCGACUUCUCUGUUUUUCAAUGUUUCCUUUCUUUGUGAUUUCCAGACGCGUUUCAGGAUCCAGCUUCUUCGUAGCCGUGUUUUUGCUCCUCUCAUUCUUACGGCUACGUGAAUCGGAGAUUUUUUGGAAGCGGCAGCAUGGUGAAAAAGAGACGAGCGUGUGAAAUUAAUUUACUGUUUUCAUCGUUUCUCUUUGUUAAUUGGAUUAGAGCGAAAAAAGCGAUAGCCCUUUAACAUAUUUGCUGGCGUUCGCGUAUACGUUAGGUCUGUGUAGUUUUAUGGAAAUUCAUAUUUUCAUAAACCCAAUGGAAAAUCUGCAAUCUAAUGGUAGGUAGGACGUUAUUUCAAUGUUAUACAAGUAGCUACUGUAUCUUCGUUAUUCUCUAUAUUUUCACUUGCCAUGCGCAUUUUCCAAUUUUUCAUCUUCUAUAAACGCGUAAAGAUCAGCCAUACGCGUUAAACGAAAAGCUCGUAACGAAGGUGAAGAAGAAAUGUUUUUACUAUCGCGAUGCAUCAAAAUCCGCGAAGCAAAUGUUUAAAUAAAGCAGCUAACACAGUUUGCGCAUUAUAGUUUUCCAUAUAGCGCAGCGCAGUUUCUGAACGAUUUAUUUUAAAUUCCAUCUUAUUUUAUUACACUGCCGAAGGGUUAGAUGAUAAAAUAAUUCGUUUCAUCGUGGCUGUAACGAUGCUCGUGGCCCAUGGUUUAUCGGUCAGAAAAAUGUGCAGACCCGUGACAAAAGGAGUCAUAACGGAACCGCGUUCGCAAGCCAAAGACGAGCACGUUAACGGUGUCUGAGGUUUCACCGCGCUAAAUACACACUUUUUCCCUCUCACUCGUCGCGUUAACGUCGAACCAACCGCGGACGACGACUCUUUUUCUUUUCUCUUACUCGACGAUGCUGUCCGCCGUGAAAAGAAGCAGCUACUCCAUCGUAGCGAUAAAGACGAGAAAGCAAAGAAAAAGCCGCGGUUCUCGUUGCAGAGAAAAUCCGAAGAGGAUCGACGUAGAAGAUGAAUAGAAGGCGAGAAGCAGAGGUUCUCCCUUGAAACAGGGGGACAAUCUUCCCCUGUUCAUUGUGAGAAUUUCUAAUUGUUCGCCAAUGUUCCGGAUAUGGUAAGGGAAUUUUUCUCUGGGAAAAUGGCACGUGGCAUUAUCGGUUACCAUAUAGCGUAUGGAUUAUCGAGAAAUUAUAACUUUUUUAAGAAAUUUAACAGUUGAAGAGCGUUUUUAUUGGGUUGGCAACUAAGUGAUUGCGGGUUUUGUCAGUACCACCUAAUGACAAAAUCCGCAAUCACUUAGUUGCCAAUAGAAAUGAAAUUAUGUAAAUCAUUGGCGACAUUAUGUAAUGUUAUAGGUUUGAUAAUAAUAGCAUCGGUAUUAGCAAUAUUAAUAGCUGUUAGUAAUAGGAUGACGUAUUUUAAUAGUAUAAUUGAUAUUAAAAAUAGGGUAAGGGGAUUUUUCUUUCGGCAGGGUGGAUGCGACUAAUUAAGAAAUUUAAUAGUUGAAGAUGCGUAAGUGUCUGGUGUUCUUAUCGUGGUUGGCAACUAAGUGAUUGCGGAUUUUGUCAAUACCAUCUAAUGACAAAAUCCGCAAUCACUUAGUUGCCAAUAGAAACGAAAUUAUGUAAAUCAUAUUAUGUAAUGUUAUAGGUUUGAUAAUAAUAGCAUCGGUAUUAGCAAUAUUAAUAGCUGUUAGUAAUAGGAUGAUGUACUUUAACAGUAUAAUUGAUAUUAAAAAUAGGGUAAGGGGAUUUUUCUGUCGGUAUGGUGGAUGCGACUUUUUGUUAGAGAAUUGUGUACGUAUCGUGAAAAAAUUGCAGGUUUUCUAGGAAAUUGGGUGAUUUAAGCGUAACGUACAAAUCAUGCUUUUAGAAAUGAAAUUAUGUAAUUAUUAGUAAUUGUGUAAUUAUUGCAGGUAAUAGUGUAAUUACUAGUAAUUACAUAAUUAUGCAGGUAAUUGCGUAAUUAGUAGCGUCAUAUCAUAAUGAUAUUUCAAUGAUGUACUAUUAAAACGAUGCCUGUAAGUUAAAGAAGAACUAAAUAUUAAGAAAAACAUAAGAA